This 484-nucleotide ribosomal RNA is filed under the name uncultured bacterium. RNAcentral describes it as "partial 16S ribosomal RNA". It matches the Rfam family "Bacterial small subunit ribosomal RNA", at positions 28 to 523 of the family's 1533-position model. The record is from RNAcentral.
GACGAACGCUGGCGGCGUGCUUAACACAUGCGAGUCGAACGAUGAAGCUGGAGCUUGCUCCGGUGGAUUAGUGGCGAACGGGUGAGUAACACGUGAGUAAUCUGCCCUUGACUCUGGGAUAACUGCGGGAAACUGUAGCUAAUACCGGAUACGACACCUUCGGGCAUCCGAUGGGUGUGGAAAGAAUUUCGGUCAAGGAUGAACUCGCGGCCUAUCAGCUAGUUGGUGAGGUAAUGGCUCACCAAGGCGACGACGGGUAGCCGGCCUGGGAGGGUGACCGGCCACACAGGGAAUUAGACAUGACCCAGACUCCUACGGGAGGCAGCAGUGGGGAAUAUUGCACAAUGGGCGAAAGCCUGAUGCAGCAACGCCGCGUGAGGGAUGAAGGCCUUCGGGUUGUAAACCUCUUUUAGUUGGGAAGAAGCGAAAGUGACGGUACCAACAGAAAAAGCACCGGCUAACUACGUGCCAGCCGCCGCGGUAA